CCUGGCUCAGGACGAACGCUGGCGGCGCGCCUAACACAUGCAAGUCGAACGAGAGAUGAGGAGCUUGCUCUUCAAAUCGAGUGGCGAACGGGUGAGUAACGCGUGAGGAACCUGCCUCAAAGAGGGGGACAACAGUUGGAAACGACUGCUAAUACCGCAUAAGCCCACGGCUCGGCAUCGAGCAGAGGGAAAAGGAGCAAUCCGCUUUGAGAUGGCCUCGCGUCCGAUUAGCUGGUUGGUGAGGUAACGGCCCACCAAGGCGACGAUCGGUAGCCGGACUGAGAGGUUGAACGGCCACAUUGGGACUGAGACACGGCCCAGACUCCUACGGGAGGCAGCAGUGGGGAAUAUUGCACAAUGGGGGAAACCCUGAUGCAGCGACGCCGCGUGGAGGAAGAAGGUCUUCGGAUUGUAAACUCCUGUUGUUGAGGAAGAUAAUGACGGUACUCAACAAGGAAGUGACGGCUAACUACGUGCCAGCAGCCGCGGUAAAACGUAGGUCACAAGCGUUGUCCGGAAUUACUGGGUGUAAAGGGAGCGCAGGCGGGAGAACAAGUUGGAAGUGAAAUCCAUGGGCUCAACCCAUGAACUGCUUCAAAACUGUUUUUCUGAGUAGUGCAGAGGUAGGCGGAAUUCCCGGUGUAGCGGUGGAAUGCGUAGAUAUCGGGAGGAACACCAGUGGCGAAGGCGGCUACUGGGCACCAACUGACGCUGAGGCUCGAAAGUGUGGGUAGCAAACAGGAUUAGAUACCCUGGUAGUCCACACCGUAAACGAUGAUUACUAGGUGUUGGAGGAUUGACCCCUUCAGUGCCGCAGUUAACACAAUAAGUAAUCCACCUGGGGAGUACGACCGCAAGGUUGAAACUCAAAGGAAUUGACGGGGGCCCGCACAAGCAGUGGAGUAUGUGGUUUAAUUCGACGCAACGCGAAGAACCUUACCAAGUCUUGACAUCCCUUGACGAACAUAGAAAUAUGUUUUCUCUUCGGAGCAAGGAGACAGGUGGUGCAUGGUUGUCGUCAGCUCGUGUCGUGAGAUGUUGGGUUAAGUCCCGCAACGAGCGCAACCCUUAUGGUCAGUUACUACGCAAGAGGACUCUGGCCAGACUGCCGUUGACAAAACGGAGGAAGGUGGGGAUGACGUCAAAUCAUCAUGCCCUUUAUGACUUGGGCUACACACGUACUACAAUGGCGUUAAACAAAGAGAAGCAAGACCGCGAGGUGGAGCAAAACUCAGAAACAACGUCCCAGUUCGGACUGCAGGCUGCAACUCGCCUGCACGAAGUCGGAAUUGCUAGUAAUCGUGGAUCAGCAUGCCACGGUGAAUACGUUCCCGGGCCUUGUACACACCGCCC
RNAcentral lists this ribosomal RNA (1353 nucleotides) under uncultured bacterium. Its description in RNAcentral is "bacterial SSU rRNA". It matches the Rfam family "Bacterial small subunit ribosomal RNA", at positions 18 to 1395 of the family's 1533-position model. The record is from RNAcentral.